CUUGAGUGCAGAAGAGGACAGUGGAACUCCAUGUGUAGCGGUGAAAUGCGUAGAUAUAUGGAAGAACACCAGUGGCGAAGGCGGCUGUCUGGUCUGUAACUGACGCUGAGGCUCGAAAGUAUGGGUAGCAAACAGGAUUAGAUACCCUGGUAGUCCAUACCGUAAACGAUGAAUGCUAAGUGUUGGAGGGUUUCCGCCCUUCAGUGCUGCAGCUAACGCAUUAAGCAUUCCGCCUGGGGAGUACGGCCGCAAGGCUGAAACUCAAAGGAAUUGACGGGGGCCCGCACAAGCGGUGGAGCAUGUGGUUUAAUUCGAAGCUACGCGAAGAACCUUACCAGGUCUUGACAUACUAUGCAAAUCUAAGAGAUUAGACGUUCCCUUCGGGGACAUGGAUACAGGUGGUGCAUGGUUGUCGUCAGCUCGUGUCGUGAGAUGUUGGGUUAAGUCCCGCAACGAGCGCAACCCUUAUUAUCAGUUGCCAGCAUUAAGUUGGGCACUCUGGUGAGACUGCCGGUGACAAACCGGAGGAAGGUGGGGAUGACGUCAAAUCAUCAUGCCCCUUAUGACCUGGGCUACACACGUGCUACAAUGGAUGGUACAACGAGUUGCGAACUCGCGAGAGUAAGCUAAUCUCUUAAAGCCAUUCUCAGUUCGGAUUGUAGGCUGCAACUC
This 672-nucleotide ribosomal RNA is filed under the name Lactiplantibacillus plantarum. RNAcentral's name for it is "bacterial SSU rRNA". It matches the Rfam family "Bacterial small subunit ribosomal RNA", at positions 641 to 1313 of the family's 1533-position model. Lineage: Bacteria; Bacillati; Bacillota; Bacilli; Lactobacillales; Lactobacillaceae. The record is from RNAcentral.